UUCCCUUGUUUUGCUGUGGAAAGUGGGGUUCAACACUAUACAACUACAUCACAACGCACUUUGUUUCGUUCUGUUAUAUUGAUGAUAGACUGGUAUUAGGAUAUAGUAGGGUUGUGGUCAGAACUACUUGUUUCCAAUAUCUGCUUAUAACUUGAUCAACGAGUAGCAGGGCCAUGAAUGCAGUGAUCGGAAAUGGUUCGCGUUUGUUCUUUCUGGUCCAUGGACGAGAAUUCGCUGCCAUGUAUCGAUAUCAGCAUAAGGAGAUCGUCAUCUAAAAACUCUGCUCCAGGAGUAGGGCGCGGUCCGCUAUAGCCUCGUCAGUCAUGGAUGACGAUGGGUCCUCGCAUCCGCAGGCUGGGGUGAGGGUGUUGUUGGGGCGCAAGCACCAGUCCCUGCGGGGGCGCCUCGGAGACCCUGCGCAUGUGGAUCUGCUCACAGGGCUGCCGGCAUGCGCGCCUCAGCUGGGACCUGGACAGCAUUCGCCUGGCCCUCCUGGGGGGGGGGGGAGAAAAGACAGGAUGUUAGCAUGGAUGGUGCACCGACCCAACGUGGACGGGUCUCUGGAGAACGCUCUUUUGAGGGUAUGAGGCGAAAUUGCAAGACUUGGGAACUGUGGAAGAAAAGGUUGCAGGGUUGUGUUCCCUCUCGAUCGGAGCAGAAAAACACAUCCAUUAUCGCGGACUCCCUGCUGGGGAUGGAGGAGAGAGCAGAGGUGGAACGCCGGGCCCCAGGCCAUCGUGACCAAGGUGUGUGCACAUGUGUGUUUGCGGGGAGGGGGCUCUGGGCGUAUCACCUUUGCAUGUAUUUAUUUUCUUAUUUUUUCCUAUUCAACUCUCCUUUUUGUUUUCCAGCAAGGGCCAUUGUGCACAGAAAACUCACACACAUACACACACAGACAAACACAUUGCCUUCUAAUGUUCUUUCCACCAAUCAAUAACGCUUAA
Gadus chalcogrammus (walleye pollock) is the source of this 944-nucleotide long non-coding RNA. RefSeq lists it as uncharacterized. The record is from RefSeq and is a predicted model, not a curated record. The transcript has 3 exons. NCBI's taxonomy places the organism in Eukaryota, Metazoa, Chordata, Actinopteri, Gadiformes, Gadidae.